UAAUGACUUCCGUCUGUCCGAGACAGUUCUUACUCAGAUAAGCCAUGAAUUAUGGGCGGCCCCCUUUUAGUCUUAGGCCUUUGGGGCUUCUUGCAGCUCCUUUACCCAGACCUUUCUUGAAAGCAAGGGAAAUGCUCUCACCAUGCUCCUAGAAACAGCAGCCCAGUCAACAGGCACACUUUUGCUAUUAUAUCUUUGGGCCUGUGCUUGUCUCCUUUUUUAUGGGGGGUGGGAGUGGGGAAGACGUUAAACCUGCUGUACUCUGGCAGUUAGUUGGUGUCCUAAGGAGGUCUUGCUUGGCUCAGAUCCAUGCUGUACCAACAUCAAUUAUUAGAAUUAAUUGCUCCCUAAAACAUAAGAAAUUGCACUGCGAAGAGCCAACAGCAGCGGGGAAACUGUGAGCCUCCUCUUCUCAUCUUCUGAAGACGCACGAGCAGGUACCUUGACAGAACAAACAUCAGCCCUUCGUUGUGUAGACCUGACACCAGCUUCAAUGCUUGGGAGGGAAAGGAUCUUUGUUCAGGAAGUUACUUACUGGACAAUUAACAUGUGGAAACUAUACCAAACAGUAUGUGAAAAUGCUAAGUUCAUGUUGAAUUUCCAAAGGGUGGAGGCUCAUUCUUACAAGACUGUGACAACUCUUGGUGAUGGAAUAAAUGGGAUCAUUAUAUUUCAGUCUCCAGUGAUGCAGAGACCUUUGCAUAGCACAUUACCUCCUGGACAAUUUCCAUGUGGAAACUAUACCAAACAGUAUGUGAAAAUGGACAUGGCAAUAAAUUGUAUGAAAAUCAUUCACAGGAAAACUUACCUUGUAAAAGUCAGGAUUCUUCAAGGAAUACGUGUGCUUCCUGGAGAGAGGAGACAAAGAGUCAGAGACAGAGCUGAAGAUGCUGGUUUAAAAGGAACAACAAGAAGACAGUCUGAAAGGUUCCAAAAAAAAAAAAAAAUAAG
Canis lupus familiaris (dog) is the source of this 951-nucleotide long non-coding RNA. RefSeq lists it as uncharacterized. The transcript has 5 exons. Lineage: Eukaryota; Metazoa; Chordata; Mammalia; Carnivora; Canidae. The record is from RefSeq and is a predicted model, not a curated record.